GUCAGGAUAGCUACUCAGAUGGUAGAGCAGAGGACUGAAAAUC
RNAcentral lists this transfer RNA (43 nucleotides) under Campeiostachys himalayana. RNAcentral's name for it is "Elymus himalayanus partial tRNA-Phe". Lineage: Eukaryota; Viridiplantae; Streptophyta; Magnoliopsida; Poales; Poaceae. The record is from RNAcentral.